AGAAAUUUUACUGUUCCAUAUCUGUCUAAAGUCUGCCUUGCUACUAGCUGGGAUAAUUUCUUUCCUCUUUCCUUUUUUUUCUGCAGUGCUUCUAAGUAUAGUGACAGCCGUAUGAGGCUUUCCUAGUCUCAGCAACAGCUCAGUGAAAAUUCGGGAAAUGUAAGUGGAAAUAUGAGAGACCGCUUUAUUUGGCAGUACUUUAAAGGGGGGGGCGGGCAGGACAAAUGGCAAAGCAGUGUUUGGACCACAGGAUGAACAAUCAAUAGGCAGAAAGCAAGAUAGAGGCUUCCUCUGCUUUUGGAUCGACAAUCGACAGCUGAGAGACUAUUUUUUGCUAUGGUUGACUAAAUAUGGUCAGGGAAGAGAGAGGCACAAGAGAGCCUGUUUGCCUGGGAGUGCAUGUUUCAAAUGCUUAGCUGCCUAUAAAGCUGUAACAGUGUGGCCUGUGGUCACUGAGGGAAGAAUAUAAGUUGGCCUCUGUAGUGACCAUGUGGAAGUCCCAUCCUCGCUUGCAGACCUGACCUUGGGAUGUGACAAGGUAGCUUUAUUACAGAUCUACCAUUUAAUCCUGGAAACUCAAAAACCAAAAACGCAAAGCAAGAAAGAUGCAGAAUACUUCCCGAGGAGUCAGAAGAAUUCAAUGUAUUCUGGUGGGCAAAGGAAAACAGGGUGAAUGUUUAUUUACUUGGUUGGGGUAAGGUGUGCUUUGGGUUGGUUUAUUUCUGGGUUUGUUUUGGUCUCUUUUUGGAUUAUAAAAUUAACUCUCUCUGCAACUUUUCCCCUCUUCUGCCACACUUCAUCUAACAAAUAAGCUAGAUACAUUUUCGUGGCCUUUGCAGCAAUCUUCCUUAGUGACUUUUCUCUACAUAACUGUAAUAACUGGUAUAUGACAUUCCAAAUCAAAUGGCCAAUGUUGAUUCAAAUUUAUUGUAGGGUUUUUUUUUCCUUUAGGAGAGGGGGGAGAAAAGCUGGUUAUUUGUUUGUUUGUCUUUCAAAUGUAUCUUCAAAUGUGGGGUUCUGUGUUCACUGACAGCCCUCCCUCUCCACACGGGCUCAGGAAAGAAGUGCUGAAUCAGCGAGGAGCGUGUGCGCAGGGCCGCGAGGCGAUGGCUGCUGCAUGUGACUCUGUAGGUCACUACCUGUCCUGCUGCUGGCACUGGGCAAUACUAGGCUGACAGGAUCUAAUGACAAUAAAAGAAGAGAAAGAAGCUUCUUUCUCUGAAGACUAUGACCGAGCUGCUGUUACCAAUUUCUGAAACACUGCAAAGCUCCACUGAUUCUAUGAAUCUCCUGCAAAAAAGAACCAAACUAGGACAAAGUUCAACGGAAAACUGGACAUUUACAAAUGUCCAUGUCCAUCGAGAACAAGGAACCCUAAGCGGCGUUACUGCCUGAUCAGGUAAACUGGCUAUGAAGUGCAGUCUUUGAUAAUUUAGUCUCUGCAAAUCAUCCACCAGUACUCUGCAGCAGUGAGCUAACUAGUAACAAAUAUAUUAUUUAUAUUAUAAGUGUUUACAGCUAGCUACUUCCUAAUACCUACUCAGAGCACAUACUUCUUUAUGUACCCAUAUGAACAUACAAUGCUAUGGAAUGUAAAGAAGUAUGUAUUUUUGGUAGGUAACAAGCUACCUAGAGCAACUAAACUGCAGCUAAAAGCAACCCUUGCUUCUCUUCUGUGCAAAUGACCUUCGUGUGGUAAUAAGCUCAUAUCCCCAGGAUGAUCUCUGGCAACACUCACACACACACACACAGAAAUCCUUACUGAGUGCUUACAGAUGGAAACUCGGUAUCCUUAGGACUUAUACUUAGUGAAAGAAAAGUCCUACUGAAGUAGAUUUCAAAUUACAUGAAAGUCCUUUUAACGUAUUUAAAUACCUUCUACCUUUUUUGAGUAUUUACAUGAUUAAAAUUUGAUAAUAAGAGGAAAAAUAGUACUAGCAUAAAAGAGUAAAAGAUACAUAUAUUUUCUUCACAAUAUGAUCAUAGCUCAAGUAUCUAUCAACUCACUGGGGAAGAAAAAUAAGAUACAAGAAAAGCUGGCUCCAUGCCAGGCAUGGUGGCACAUACCUAUAAUGCCAGCACUCUGGGAGGCUGAGGCAAGAAGCUUUCAAGUUGGAACUAGCCUGGGCAACUCAGGAACUUAAGACACCCUCUUUUAAAAUUUAAAAGGAUUUAAAAGAGCUGGAGAUGCAUCUGAGUGCAAAGGGCUUCAGUUCGAACUGCAAUACUGCCCAAAAAAAAAAAAAAAAAAAAAAAAAAAAAGGCUAACCACUCAUCUUUAAUAGCUAUUCUUCACAUCUAGUAAGUUUAUAAUCUAUCAAUAUAAGAAGAAUUUCUGAUUGUAUUAUCUUUGAAUCUGCUUCCUCUAGGGAGAAUACAUAAAAUGAAAACAUUACAGUCAAGAAUCAACUUAUACACAUAGAAUACACAUAGUGCCAUUUUUAUUGGUAUUGUACUAUGCAAUUAUAACACAGUUUUACAGAUAUAACAGAUCCACUGGACUAUAUAAAAAAUGUCAAUUUUAUAUAAUCUGUUAUAUACAUGUAUAAAAACACAAGCCAGGCCAGGUGGUGUGUGCCUCUAAUUCUUAGCACUUUGGGACACAGAGGCGGAGGACUGCAAACCCAAGCCUAGACUUAGUGAGACCCUAUGUCAAAAAAUAAAAAUCUGGCUAAAGAAAGAGUUCAGCACCAAGAUCCUGGGUUCAAUUCCCAGUACUCGGAAGGAAGGAAGAAAGAAUGGAAAGAAAGAAGGAUUUUAGCAAUAAUCAUUAAGCAAUACCUGUUUUAAGUAGCUAUAAUAUUACAAAGAAAAAAGAAAAUACUAGUAUUUGUAUAUUUUAUUUUUUACUAAAAGUUGUUUCAGUAAUAUUUUACCAAAAACAGUAAUAUGUUAAUCUUUGGUAUUAAAAAGCUGAAUGGAAAUAAGUUUAACUACCAUCAAUUUUCUGUUUAGUAAGACAAUUCAUUAGUAAAUGAUUUUCAUUUUACCAGAUUAUACUGAAUGAGAAAAUUAUAUGAAGUAGUACAUUACUGCACAUUUACUGGAAAUUAUAGAAAGUAUGAUUUUUAAAUUCUAUGUUUCAAAGAAAUUAGUGCAAAUCUUAACUCACUUAAGCAUAGCCCUCUGAUCACCUACCAAAAAGAAUGACAAUACUUCAGGUUCCACUUUUUACCUUUACCUGUACAUGUCCUAAAUGCCAAAAACUAAAAAUAUAUGAUUCCAAAGCAGAAGUUGUUCUAUAAAACUACUCAAAGGGUAUUACUUUCCUUAUACUUUGUAAUAAGCAAUUACAUUUGUUAUUUUACUGGUAAGUAUAAGUUUUAAUAAUUCUUUUUAAACAUUCCAGCAACUAAGAAUUUAAUCCUUAAAAACUGAUGUUAUGCAUUUAUAAAGUCAAAUUAUAAAUCGUAGUUACUACUUUAACUUAACAUAUCUAGGAGUAUUUUCAAUCAUUCUAAAAUGUCACCUCUAUCACUUAGAUCAGCUGUUCACUUUUAACUGAGUACAUGUUAAACUCUGGACAUCUGCUGACACUGGUAUAACUCAAACAUUUCAACUGUCUCCCUGACAGGGAUAACAGAUGCUGACAUUAUCAAAUGCUGUACUAUUUUUUUCCCAUGGCCUCUCCUUGCCCCGAUAUGGCCAGUAUAUGAAACUGAACUGCCGUCCAAAAGCACACUUGAGCAACUGGAUCUGCUAAAUGGCUCCCAUAUAACUAGUAAAAAUAGAAGCCGGUGUUAUUGCUAUCUUCAGCACUUAAGUUCAUGCAAUGUAACACCUGUUUCAUUUCUACUAGAAUAAAUGAUGGAAAGAACUACAGAUACAUUAAUUUUACCAGCAGCCGGACACUUAACAACCGACACAGAAAUACACUUAACGUAACAAUUGUUUGCACACUGCCCAAAUUACUGUUGACUCUCUCCCAGUUCAGUUCAGAAUAGUUCACUCUAUUUCACUUCAUUUUACUUUGUAAACAAAUCACAAUUUAUCUAACUUGUAUUUUCUGCAAGUAUUUUUCAGAAGACAUUCUUCUCCUCAUAUUGAAAACAACAGCAAAACCACACUGUACUAAAAACUUACACUACCAAUUAUUAUAUGGUAAAUUUUAAUACUAAAAAUUCACGAAUUACAGCUAACCACAAGUCAAUGCACAGUUAAGCUAAUAAUGAGAAGUAACCAGACAAUCUGUACCCAAAAUGAUAGUGAAUUUAGUCAGGGAAACAGACUUUUAAAAGGGUUAAGUUACUGACCAAUGAUUAGUAACUCUACAUGAGCAACAACAAAAGAAAAAUAAGGUGGCAUGAAUGGUAGCUCCUCCCAACACAAGUCUAUUUAUAACCCAAAGGGCAGAAGAGUUUCUUAAAGUCAUUCAUAUUUCUCCUCCCACUGUCAGCAACUUGCUAUGAGCCCUCGACUAUAACACUAAAAGAAAGCAGUGAUAAUAGAAAUGUGUAGCUAAUAUCACUCUUCCCAACUACUAGCUGAACAGUUUAGUACCUAGAAGUAAAUAGAAGACAUUACUCUGAAAUGUGUUAAAGUCUACUUUUUCUUAUAAAUGCUGUUGGGUUUGAAGUAAGUUAUUGUUUACAUUUAAGAAUUAAUCAAAAAUGUUAAAAUGAAGAUAUGUACUGACAAUGUGUGAAAAGGAAAAGCCUUUGCAACUGUGAAGAGCAGGAAAAGUGCCGGCAAGACAGAAUUUUAUAUUCAGUAACGGAAGCACUGAAAUGAGAAUUUCUAAACUUGUGGAUGAUCUGUAACUGUAUUUUUACAAACGAAAUCACUGAUUUGUCCUGGGUCCCAAACCAGCAGCACUACAAUGCUUUGCUAAAGCUGGUAAAAUGGAACCAAAUCGCCUCUUCAAUGGAUUUGGUCCCCUUCAACCAGCUGUAGCUAUGCAUUGAUUUCUGCAGGAGAGCCAGCACUUUCAGUUAUUAUUAUCAAUUAUAUGUCAACUAAUUUUAACUUACUUAAGUUAUUCGGACUGUGGCUAAAACUGUUACUAUUCUACUUCAAAGAACUAAAGUGGUUAAAGACAUUUAUAAAAAGCUUUUUGAAAAAAUGUAUGGAUAACUUACAAAUUUCAAAUAAAAUAAUCUACUCAUU
Cavia porcellus (domestic guinea pig) is the source of this 5106-nucleotide long non-coding RNA. RefSeq lists it as uncharacterized. NCBI's taxonomy places the organism in Eukaryota, Metazoa, Chordata, Mammalia, Rodentia, Caviidae. The record is from RefSeq and is a predicted model, not a curated record. The transcript is spliced from 2 exons.